This 300-nucleotide ribosomal RNA is filed under the name uncultured Ochrobactrum sp. RNAcentral describes it as "bacterial SSU rRNA". The stretch from base 67 to 300 matches the Rfam family "Bacterial small subunit ribosomal RNA", at positions 563 to 795 of the family's 1533-position model. Lineage: Bacteria; Pseudomonadati; Pseudomonadota; Alphaproteobacteria; Hyphomicrobiales; Brucellaceae. The record is from RNAcentral.
GAGAACAUCGGGAACGGGGCGCGGUGGAAGGGUUGGGGGCAGUCGUUGUCGUGCAGUAGUGUGGCGAAGGGAGUCGGAGGCGGGUUGUGGAGUGGGGGGGGAGAGGCGUGGGGUGAGCCCCGGGUGUGCAGGGGAGAGGGGCAGGCGAGGGUGCUGUUGGGGAGGUCGGAAUUCCUGGUGUAGCGGUGAAAGGCGCAGAUAUCAGGAGGAACACCGGUGGCGAAGGCGGAUCUCUGGGCCGAUACUGACGCUGAGGAGCGAAAGCGUGGGGAGCGAACAGGAUUAGAUACCCGAGUAGUC